RNAcentral lists this ribosomal RNA (227 nucleotides) under uncultured bacterium. Its description in RNAcentral is "partial 16S ribosomal RNA". It matches the Rfam family "Bacterial small subunit ribosomal RNA", at positions 109 to 334 of the family's 1533-position model. The record is from RNAcentral.
AGUAACGCGUGAGGAACCUGCCUCAAAGAGGGGGACAACAGUUGGAAACGACUGCUAAUACCGCAUAAGCCCACGGCUCGGCAUCGAGCAGAGGGAAAAGGAGUGAUCCGCUUUGAGAUGGCCUCGCGUCCGAUUAGCUAGUUGGUGAGGUAAUGGCCCACCAAGGCGACGAUCAGUAGCCGACCUGAGAGGGUGACCGGCCACAUUGGGACUGAGACACGGCCCAA